Molecule: transfer RNA, 88 nt
Filed under: Candidatus Bathyarchaeota archaeon
Lineage: Archaea; Thermoproteati; Candidatus Bathyarchaeota
Description: tRNA-OTHER
Source: RNAcentral
GCGGCGGGCUUAAGAACCUGAUAAAUGCUGGUCAGAUUUAGAAACCCGCUCCCGUAGGGGUUCGCGGGUUCGAAUCCCGCCCCCCGCA